AUGCAGUCGACGAGUUGUUUAUAGUAGCACUAUUGGGAACAGCAAGUGGCGAACGGGUGAGUAACACGUAGAUCAUCUGCCUUUCGGACGGGGACCACUCAGGGAAACUUGUGCUAAUACCCGAUGAGACUACGGGAGGGGACUUUCGUAGCCUAAGGUGGGGGCGACCUCCCGCUGAAAGAUGAGUCUGCGUCCUAUCAGCUGGUUGGUGGGGUAAAAGCCUACCAAGGCGAAGACGGGUAGCCGGCCUGAGAGGGUGAACGGCCACNCUGGAACUGAGACACGGCCCAGACUCCUACGGGAGGCAGCAGUGAGGAAUUUUCCGCAAUGGGCGCAAGCCUGACGGAGCGACGCCGCGUGAGGGAUGACGGCCUUCGGGUUGUAAACCUCUUUUAUUAGGGAAAAAGGCAUAUGUGCUAAUACCCCGUAUGUUUGAUGGUACCUGUUGAAUAAGCCCCGGCUAACUACGUGCCANCANCCGCGG
RNAcentral lists this ribosomal RNA (484 nucleotides) under uncultured Spirochaetota bacterium. RNAcentral's name for it is "bacterial SSU rRNA". It matches the Rfam family "Bacterial small subunit ribosomal RNA", at positions 55 to 520 of the family's 1533-position model. Lineage: Bacteria; Pseudomonadati; Spirochaetota. The record is from RNAcentral.